CGAGUUCGUCGGACGACCGCGGGAGCGAUCCUGAGGAAAGUCCGGACUCCGCAGGGCAGGGUGCUGGGUAACUCCCAGGCGGGGCGACCCGACGGAAAGUGCCACAGAAAACAAACCGCCGAUGGCCACAACCUCAACGGUGCCGGAUCAGGCAAGGGUGAAACGGUGGGGUAAGAGCCCACCAGCGAGCCGGGCGACCGGCCGGCUAGGCAAACCCCACCCGGAGCAAGGCCAAGCAGGGACAGCGACGGCCCGUCGGACAAGUCCCGGGUAGGCCGCAACAGGCGGCAGGCAACUGUCGUCGCAGAUGGAUGGUCGUCCUCGACAGAAUCCGGCUUAUAGACGAACUGGAACA
RNAcentral lists this RNase P RNA (355 nucleotides) under Acidimicrobiia bacterium. RNAcentral describes it as "RNase P RNA component class A". It matches the Rfam family "Bacterial RNase P class A". Rfam says of the family: Ribonuclease P (RNase P) is a ubiquitous endoribonuclease, found in archaea, bacteria and eukarya as well as chloroplasts and mitochondria. The record is from RNAcentral. Lineage: Bacteria; Bacillati; Actinomycetota; Acidimicrobiia. RNAcentral also lists the same sequence under 1 other name.